AUGGUUAUCGUUCCCAUCCUUCUCCUGCUGCUCCUGCCCUUCGUUGGUGCCCAAUGGCUAGUGUGCGGUGACAGCGGCAACUAUACAUCAAACAGCACCUACCAAGCCAACCUCAUGCUCCUCUCGUCUACCCUCCCCAACAAGGCCGUGUCCAACACCAGCGUCUUCGCCACCGCCACCGUGGGCCAUGCUCCGGACAUCAUCUAUGCCCUUACGCUCUGCCACGGGGACAUCACCGACGCCUCUGACUGCGAGAGCUGCGUCGCUGCCGCCUUCAAAGAUGCGCAGCUGAGCUGCCCGUACAAUAAGGAAGUCAGCACGUACUACGAUUACUUCAUGCUCAGGUUCUCCAACCAUAAUUUUCUCCUUGCCAACAGUACCGAAGAUCAGAUGAAGUGGAUCAACCUCCGGAACACCCUGAACUUCACGACAGGUGGCGACUCCAUCACGCACUUGUUGUUCAUGCUUCUGAACAGCACGGCCCAAGCGGCUGCAAACAGCUCCAGGAGGUUCACCACCUCGCGCUUAGGCGUCAACAUCGUCCCAACGGUGUACUGCUUUAUGCAGUGCACGCCCGACCUCACGCCCCACGACUGCGCGGCUUGCUUACAGGUUGUUUUGAAGCAUACGCUCAAGUUCCUAGAUGGAGCGCAAGGUGGUCGAAUUCUCGGGACACGGUGUAGCAUGAGGUACGAGCUAUACCACUUCUACGAAGGGGUCCCCAUGCUUGCAAUUCCGGUGGUCAACGGCACUACGCCAGCGCCCACGCCCGCUACCAGACACAACUCACGCAAGAGGGUGUUGUGGAUUAUUGCUGGGGUGGCUCCACUACUGUCAAUACUUCUAUGCGUUAUCUGUUCCGUUGUAUGGACGAGAAGAAGAAGACAAGGAAAGGUAAACUUAAACGACCAGGCUGCCACCAAUAGACCGGAAGAAAAUGAACUGGUCUGGAGAUUGGAGGAGAAGAGUUCAGAGUUCACUCUCUUUGACUUUUCUGAGAUAUUGCAUGCUACACAUAACUUCUCCAAGGAAAAUCUACUUGGACAAGGUGGCUUUGGCCCUGUCUACAAGGGCCAAUUACCAGAUGGAAUGCAAAUCGCUGUCAAAAGGCUUGCCUCACAUUCAGGACAAGGUUUUACAGAAUUCAAAAAUGAAGUUGAACUUAUUGCAAAAUUACAACACAAUAAUCUCGUCAAGCUCUUGGGAUGCUGCAUUCAAGGAGAGGAAAAACUGUUGGUGUAUGAGUAUUUGCCAAAUAAGAGCUUGGACUUCUUUAUAUUUGAAAGAAACAGGACAGCCUUUAUUGAUUGGAACAAAAGACGUGUGAUAAUCGAAGGGAUAGCCCAAGGUCUUCUCUAUCUCCACAAGCACUCUUGGCUACGCAUCAUACACAGAGACCUUAAGGCCAGCAACAUUCUCUUGGACCAGGAUAUGAAUCCUAAAAUUUCUGAUUUUGGCCUAGCAAAAAUAUUCAGCUCCAAUGAUACUCAGGGAAGCACAAAGAGGGUAGUUGGAACAUAUGGUUAUAUGUCUCCGGAGUAUGCCUCUGAAGGCAUUUACUCAAUCAAAUCAGAUGUGUUCAGCUUUGGCGUGUUACUUCUUGAGAUCCUUAGCGGAAAAAGAAAUUCUGGUUUCUAUCAGUAUGGUGACUUUCUUAACCUUCUUGGAUAUUCAUGGCAACUAUGGGAAGGAGGAACAUGGAUUGAGCUUCUAGAUGCAUCAAUUGCAAAGGAGAUCUGUACAUCAGAUGCUAGGAGGUACAUUAACAUCGCACUGAUGUGUGUACAAGAGAGUGCAGAUGAUCGACCCACCAUGUCAGAUGUUGUUGCAAUGUUAAACAGCGAGAGUGGUAUUCUUCCAGAACCAAAUCAUCCAGGAUACUUCAACCUAAGGGUAUCUAAGACACAUGAAUUUUUUGUUCCAUGUAGUAACAAUGAUGUAACCAUCACUGAGGAGCCACAUGGCAGAUAG
RNAcentral lists this ribosomal RNA (1971 nucleotides) under Triticum aestivum (bread wheat). RNAcentral's name for it is "partial small subunit ribosomal RNA". Lineage: Eukaryota; Viridiplantae; Streptophyta; Magnoliopsida; Poales; Poaceae. The record is from RNAcentral.